RNAcentral lists this ribosomal RNA (572 nucleotides) under uncultured bacterium. RNAcentral describes it as "bacterial SSU rRNA". It matches the Rfam family "Bacterial small subunit ribosomal RNA", at positions 28 to 651 of the family's 1533-position model. The record is from RNAcentral.
AACGAACGCUGGCGGCAGGCUUAACACAUGCAAGUCGAACGCAUCGCAAGAUGAGUGGCAGACGGGUGAGUAACGCGUGGGAACGUGCCCUUUACUACGGAAUAACUCAGGGAAACUUGUGCUAAUACCGUAUGUGCCCUUCGGGGAAAGAUUAUCGGUAAAGGAUCGGCCCGCGCUGGAUUAGCUAGUUGGUGGGGUAAAGGCCUACCAAGGCGACGAUCCAUAGCUGGUCUGAGAGGAUGAUCAGCCACAUUGGGACUGAGACACGGCCCAAACUCCUACGGGAGGCAGCAGUGGGGAAUAUUGGACAAUGGGCGCAAGCCUGAUCCAGCCAUGCCGCGUGAGUGAUGAAGGCCCUAGGGUUGUAAAGCUCUUUCACCGGUGAAGAUAAUGACGGUAACCGGAGAAGAAGCCCCGGCUAACUUCGUGCCAGCAGCCGCGGUAAUACGAAGGGGGCUAGCGUUGUUCGGAAAUACUGGGCGUAAAGCGCACGUAGGCGGGUAUUUAAGUCAGGGUGAAAUCCCGGAGCUCAACUCCGGAACUGCCUUUGAUACUGGGUACCUAGAGUAUGG